CUCGCACGCCAGUGUGGGUGGAGUCGUCGUUGAAAUACCAGUCUGGUCGUGCUGGAUGUCUAACCUGGGUCCGUGAUCCGGAUCAGGGACAGUGUCUGAUGGGUAGUUUAACUGGGGCGGUUGCCUCCUAAAGAGUAACGGAGGCGCCCAAAGGUUCCCUCAGCCUGGUUGGCAAUCAGGUGGUGAGUGUAAGUGCACAAGGGAGCUUGACUGUGAGACCGACGGGUCGAGCAGGGACGAAAGUCGGGACUAGUGAUCCGGCGGUGGCUUGUGGAAGCGCCGUCGCUCAACGGAUAAAAGGUACCCCGGGGAUAACAGGCUGAUCUUCCCCAAGAGUCCAUAUCGACGGGAUGGUUUGGCACCUCGAUGUCGGCUCGUCGCAUCCUGGGGCUGGAGUCGGUCCCAAGGGUUGGGCUGUUCGCCCAUUAAAGCGGUACGCGAGCUGGGUUUAGAACGUCGUGAGACAGUUCGGUCCCUAUCCGCUGUGCGCGUAGGAGUCUUGAGAAGGGCUGUCCCUAGUACGAGAGGACCGGGACGGACGAACCUCUGGUGUGCCAGUUGUCCUGCCAAGGGCAUGGCUGGUUGGCUACGUUCGGGAGGGAUAACCGCUGAAAGCAUCUAAGCGGGAAGCCUGCUUCGAGAUGAGGACUCCCACCCCCU
RNAcentral lists this ribosomal RNA (660 nucleotides) under Streptomyces montanus. Its description in RNAcentral is "Streptomyces sp. NEAU-C151 partial 23S ribosomal RNA". It matches the Rfam family "Bacterial large subunit ribosomal RNA", at positions 2163 to 2822 of the family's 2925-position model. Lineage: Bacteria; Bacillati; Actinomycetota; Actinomycetes; Kitasatosporales; Streptomycetaceae. The record is from RNAcentral.